RNAcentral lists this transfer RNA (31 nucleotides) under Saccharum officinarum (sugarcane). RNAcentral's name for it is "partial tRNA-Leu". Lineage: Eukaryota; Viridiplantae; Streptophyta; Magnoliopsida; Poales; Poaceae. The record is from RNAcentral. RNAcentral also lists the same sequence under 5 other names.
AAAAUCCGUCGACUUUAUAAGUCGUGAGGGU